Long non-coding RNA from Eubalaena glacialis (North Atlantic right whale), 448 nucleotides. RefSeq lists it as uncharacterized. The transcript is spliced from 3 exons. The record is from RefSeq and is a predicted model, not a curated record. Lineage: Eukaryota; Metazoa; Chordata; Mammalia; Artiodactyla; Balaenidae.
UGCUGGUCCGCCUGCCUUUCCUCCUUCCCCCAAAGGACUCCGCUACCCUGAAGGUCACACAACCUUGUAUGGGGCUUAACUCAGUAUCAUGAGAAUGUUCGCAUAACGACCAGCAAACAUUUUCCUCCCAAGGGAAAGGGUGAAAUCGGAGAGCUGGAUGGGAAAGGUUUGCCUUGUGUUGUCAUCAGUUACAUAACCAUAAAAGGAAGUCAAGGGAGAAAUAACCUUCACGGAAGUUCAUUACAAAGAGAAGCUGUCACCAGUACUCCACUCCCCAACUGGACCCGUCCUUCAUAGCUCUGCAGCUGAAAUUCCAGCUGAUACCGGAACCAAGGAGCAAAGGGAGACAGACCUAUUCUUGAAUGUUGCUCCUCACAGACAGAAAAGAAGGAACAAAAAAUAAAAGAGUUUCUUUCCAAUAAAUAAGGACAUUGCCCUCAUUGCACCU